RNAcentral lists this transfer RNA (73 nucleotides) under Symploca sp. SIO1A3. RNAcentral's name for it is "tRNA-Asp". It matches the Rfam family "tRNA". Rfam says of the family: Transfer RNA (tRNA) molecules are approximately 80 nucleotides in length. Their secondary structure includes four short double-helical elements and three loops (D, anti-codon, and T loops). Lineage: Bacteria; Bacillati; Cyanobacteriota; Cyanophyceae; Coleofasciculales; Coleofasciculaceae. RNAcentral also lists the same sequence under 1 other name. The record is from RNAcentral.
GGGGCUGUAGCUCAAUGGCUAGAGCACUCGCCUGUCUAGCGGGGAGUUGCGGGUUCGAGUCCCGUCAGCCUCG